RNAcentral lists this ribosomal RNA (394 nucleotides) under uncultured bacterium. RNAcentral's name for it is "partial 16S ribosomal RNA". It matches the Rfam family "Bacterial small subunit ribosomal RNA", at positions 362 to 770 of the family's 1533-position model. The record is from RNAcentral.
UAUUGCGCAAUGGGGGAAACCCUGACGCAGCAACGCCGCGUGCAGGAAGAAGGUCUUCGGAUNUUAAACUGUUGUCGCAGGGGAANNCANNNGNGACGGUACCCUGUGAGAAAGUCACGGCUAACUACGUNNCAGCAGCCGCGGUAAUACGUAGGUGACAAGCGUUGUCCGGAUUUACUGGGUGUAAAGGGCGCGUAGGCGGGAUAGCAAGUCAGUCGUGAAAUGCCGAGGCUUAACCUCGGAGCUGCGAUUGAAACUGUUAUUCUUGAGUAUCGGAGAGGAAAGCGGAAUUCCUAGUGUAGCGGUGAAAUGCGUAGAUAUUAGGAGGAACACCAGUGGCGAAGGCGGCUUUCUGGACGACAACUGACGCUGAGGCGCGAAAGUGUGGGGAGCA